This 20-nucleotide non-coding RNA is filed under the name Mus musculus (house mouse). The record is from RNAcentral. Lineage: Eukaryota; Metazoa; Chordata; Mammalia; Rodentia; Muridae.
UGAGGUACUGCGAAGCCAGG